This is a non-coding RNA of Canis lupus familiaris (dog), 46 nucleotides long. The record is from Rfam. Lineage: Eukaryota; Metazoa; Chordata; Mammalia; Carnivora; Canidae.
UUAACGACUCUUUUCAGAGCCACACAACUAAUCUUAUGAAAGAAUU